CCUACGGGGUGCUGCAGUAGGGAAUUUUGCGCAAUGGGCGAAAGCCUGACGCAGCAACGCCGCGUGAUCGAGACGCCCUUCGGGGUGUAAAGAUCUGUCAGUGGGGACGAAACGUGACGGUACCCACAGAGGAAGCACCGGCUAACUCCGUGCCAGCAGCCGCGGUAAUACGGGGGGGGCAAGCGUUGUCCGGAAUCAUUGGGCGGAAAGAGUGCGUAGGCGGCACGUAAAGUCUGGUGUUAAAGGCAGAGGCUCAACUUCGGUACGGCACUGGAUACUUGCGAGCUAGAAUGCGGUAGGGGUAACUGCACUUCCUGGUGUAGCGGUGAAAUGCUUCGAUAUCAGGAGGAACAUCGGUGGCGUAAGCGCUUUACUGGGCCGUAAUUGACGCUGGGGCACGACAGCCAGGGUAGCAAAUGGGAUUAGAUACCCGAGUAGUC
This 440-nucleotide ribosomal RNA is filed under the name uncultured bacterium. RNAcentral's name for it is "partial 16S ribosomal RNA". It matches the Rfam family "Bacterial small subunit ribosomal RNA", at positions 338 to 795 of the family's 1533-position model. The record is from RNAcentral.